Molecule: ribosomal RNA, 865 nt
Filed under: Aporcelaimellus sp. 2 GVDU-2019
Lineage: Eukaryota; Metazoa; Nematoda; Enoplea; Dorylaimida; Aporcelaimidae
Description: SSU rRNA
Rfam family: Eukaryotic small subunit ribosomal RNA
Source: RNAcentral
AUAGCUCAUUACAACAGCCACCGUUUACUAGAAUAUAGUUAUCCUACUUGGAUAACUGUGGCAAUUCUAGAGCUAAUACAUGCAAAAGAGCUCCGCCCGCAAGGAACGAGCGCAUUUAUUAGAAUAAAAACCAAUCGGGUCUCGGCCCGUAAUUUGGUGAAUCUGAAUAACUUUGCCAAUCGCACAGUCCUAGUACUGGCGAUGUAUCUUUCAAGUGUCUGCCUUAUCAACUUUCGAUGGUAGGUUAUACGCCUACCAUGGUAGUAACGGGUAACGGAGAAUAAGGGUUCGACUCCGGAGAGGGAGCCUGAGAAACGGCUACCACAUCCAAGGAAGGCAGCAGGCGCGCAAAUUACCCACUUCCAGAACGGAGAGGUAGUGACGAAAAAUAACGAGACAGUCCUCUUCGAGGUCUGUCAUCGGAAUGGGUACAAUUUAAAUCCUUUAACGAGGAUCUAUUGGAGGGCAAGUCUGGUGCCAGCAGCCGCGGUAAUUCCAGCUCCAAUAGCGUAUAUUAAAGUUGUUGCGGUUAAAACGCUCGUAGUUGGAUUUGCGGCCUCGGAGAACGGUCCCCCGAAAGGGUGGUCACUGUCUCUCCUAGCCUAAAUUCGAGUCGUCUCUAGGUGCUCUUUAUUGGGUGCUUAGAGUGACUAGAACUUUUACUUUGAAAAAAUUAGAGUGCUUAAAGCAGGCGAAAUAGCCUGAAUAAAGUGCAUGGAAUAAUGGAAUAUGACCUCUCGUGUCUAUUUUGUUGGGGUCUGGAACACGAAGUAAUGAUUAAGAGGACAGGACGGGGGCGUUUCUUAUUCGGUGGCUUGAGAUGAGAGAUCUCUGGACCGCCGGCAUGACGGAAUACGGAUGACUG